RNAcentral lists this long non-coding RNA (619 nucleotides) under Trifolium pratense (red clover). Its description in RNAcentral is "long non-coding RNA (TPRA_LNC006519)". Lineage: Eukaryota; Viridiplantae; Streptophyta; Magnoliopsida; Fabales; Fabaceae. The record is from RNAcentral.
UCAGUCUGAAAGAGGCGCCCUCUUGAUUUAUGGGUCGUGCAAAGUCGAGCUAACUGACUUUAAACACAGCGCUGCGUGGGAGGCAACCCACGAGUUUUUAUUUUAAUGUUUUCAUUUGAAUUUGCAGAAAAUAAAGAGAUCGAUCGCUUAACACCCAUAAGUUGCAUUAUAGGCGUAAAUNNNNNNNNNNNNNGGCGUAAAUCUCCAGGUUUUGCACUCCAAUUCUACUCCAGAGUUGCAACAGUGAGGACACUGUUGAAUUUAAGUUUAGGGGAGCAUUUCACUACUUUUAUUUAUUUUUCAGUCAUUUCAAUUUAUUUCCCUUUUCGCAUAAUAAAAAAAAUUAAAUUUAUAGUGUUUUCUUUGGUUUUUCUAAAUUUUUCCUUUUCUUGAGCCAAUUUAAAUUUUUUUUUUUCUAAAGAUUUAGGACAAUUAUUCACUUUGAAAGUAUAUAGGUUAAGAAAGGAUGAGAGGCUAAGUUAAGAAAAUUAGGGAAUUUUACAACAAAAUCGGUAUUUUUCCAACACCCGGAAGUCUCCCUAGUAUAGAUAUCAAUUUGAAUAACCAUUGUGCCGAAAUCUCCUGAUUUAAAUUUGUGGAUUCCUUUAGUAGUUUAUUN